RNAcentral lists this ribosomal RNA (703 nucleotides) under uncultured bacterium. RNAcentral's name for it is "bacterial SSU rRNA". It matches the Rfam family "Bacterial small subunit ribosomal RNA", at positions 28 to 712 of the family's 1533-position model. The record is from RNAcentral.
GAUGAACGCUGGCGGCGUGCCUAAUACAUGCAAGUCGAGCGCAAAGAUCAGGAGCUUGCUCCUGUGAUUUGAGCGGCGGACGGGUGAGUAACACGUAGGCAACCUACCCUUGAGAUUGGGAUAACUACCGGAAACGGUAGCUAAUACCGGAUACGACCUUUCCACAUAAGUGGAAUUGUUAAAAGGCGGAUUUAUCUGCCGCUCAUGGAUGGGCCUGCGGUGCAUUAGCUAGUUGGUGAGAUAGUAGCUCACCAAGGCGACGAUGCAUAGCCGACCUGAGAGGGUGAUCGGCCACACUGGGACUGAGACACGGCCCAGACUCCUACGGGAGGCAGCAGUAGGGAAUCUUCCGCAAUGGACGAAAGUCUGACGGAGCAACGCCGCGUGAGUGAUGAAGGGUUUCGGCUCGUAAAACUCUGUUGUUAAGGAAGAAUACUUGAGGUAGUAACUGGCCUUGAGAUGACGGUACUUAACCAGAAAGCCACGGCUAACUACGUGCCAGCAGCCGCGGUAAUACGUAGGUGGCAAGCGUUAUCCGGAAUUAUUGGGCGUAAAGCGCGCGUAGGCGGUAAAAUAAGUCUGAUGUGAAAGCCCCCGGCUCAACCGGGGAGGGUCAUUGGAAACUGUUUUACUUGAGUACAGAAGAGGAGAGUGGAAUUCCAUGUGUAGCGGUGAAAUGCGCAGAGAUAUGGAGGAACACCAG